GGUUUAAUUCGAAGCAACGCGAAGAACCUUACCAAGUCUUGACAUCCUCUUGACCGGUCAGUAAUGUGACCUUUUCUUCGGAACAAGAGUGACAGGUGGUGCAUGGUUGUCGUCAGCUCGUGUCGUGAGAUGUUGGGUUAAGUCCCGCAACGAGCGCAACCCUUAUCCUUAGUAGCCAGCAGUCCGGCUGGGCACUCUAGGGAGACUGCCAGGGAUAACCUGGA
Molecule: ribosomal RNA, 224 nt
Filed under: uncultured bacterium
Lineage: Bacteria
Description: partial 16S ribosomal RNA
Rfam family: Bacterial small subunit ribosomal RNA
Source: RNAcentral